This 468-nucleotide ribosomal RNA is filed under the name uncultured bacterium. Its description in RNAcentral is "partial 16S ribosomal RNA". It matches the Rfam family "Bacterial small subunit ribosomal RNA", at positions 28 to 507 of the family's 1533-position model. The record is from RNAcentral.
GACGAACGCUGGCGGCGUGCUUAACACAUGCAAGUCGAACGGAAAGGCCCUGCUUUUGUGGGGUGCUCGAGUGGCGAACGGGUGAGUAACACGUGAGUAACCUGCCCUUGACUUUGGGAUAACUUCAGGAAACUGGGGCUAAUACCGGAUAGGAGCUCCUGCUGCAUGGUGGGGGUUGGAAAGUUUCGGCGGUUGGGGAUGGACUCGCGGCUUAUCAGCUUGUUGGUGGGGUAGUGGCUUACCAAGGCUUUGACGGGUAGCCGGCCUGAGAGGGUGACCGGCCACAUUGGGACUGAGAUACGGCCCAGCAUCCUACGGGAGGCAGCAGUGGGGAAUAUUGCACAAUGGGCGGAAGCCUGAUGCAGCAACGCCGCGUGCGGGAUGACGGCCUUCGGGUUGUAAACCGCUUUCGCCUGUGACGAAGCGUGAGUGACGGUAAUGGGUAAAGAAGCACCGGCUAACUACGUG